GUGCCUGAGGGAACCCCCAGGACAUCCUGGCCUCUGAGGGCUCAAGACUUGGGGGAUAACUACAGGUGAGACAGCUGUGGUUUCCCAGAGGGCACUCAUGAGAGGCCAUCAACACUGAGAAAGGAGCAGAGUCUGUGAGCACCAGGUGCAGAGAGAGGAAGAGGAUAGGGAAAAGCAUGGAGUCCCUUAGGUGUGACCAAGUAUGAUAAAAGCAGAUGCCAUCCCACCUGGGACUAGGGCUGUCCUUGGCAUGCCAGCUCACUUCACCCUCAGAGCUAGUAGGCAGUGGUCACUGGCCCUUACUCCUUAACUUGGGUCCUGCAGAGACAGAUCAAGGUCAGGGACAGGACUCCUUAAGGACAUCUGGGUAACCCUCCUUCUCCAGGCCUCCAAGGUGAUGGGAAGCAAACAUGCAUGGUUAAAAUAAGAAUCUUCGAGACGGACUGGAGAGAUUGUUCAGUGGUUAAGGCAUGUAGUGCUCUGGCAGAAGACAUCCAUGUCAGGUGGAUCACAACCCCUGUAUCUCCAGCUCCAGAGGACCACUCUUCCUGCCUCCAGAGGCAUGUCCACUUGUGUGUGUACAAUCCUGUGCAUACAGAUGAUUUUACAAAGAACAAAUAAAUUUUUUUUUCAAGAAUCCAAGAGCAAAGCCCAGUGAAUGCUAGAGCCUUCAUUCAAGAGAGGCAUUACAAACUGGGUAGGAGUCAAAGGUGCUGAGACUUACCUGAGAAGACAGUUUCCUCCCCUAGCCCCUGCUCCAGGCACAGGACUGUGCAUUAAACAGCCUGCUUCUCAGACCAUCCCAGUUUGCACUUCUCAAUUCUCACGGUACAUCUAGGAACGUGACAUCCUUGGAACUUGGUUGGACCCCUGAACAGCAGACCUGAGAUCCCUGUAUGUCAAACAGGGACCAGUAGGAGGUGGGAAGCUAGAGCCCUUUGAGGUCCCCCAGAAGUCUGGUUUCUAUAUUAUAUCUGGCAUUGAGAAGCUGGAACCUGCAGGCAGGGGAAGCUGGGAGGGGUGGUCUUUCUCCAAGGCUAGGGAUUCUAUCUCUGAUGGCUCAGGCUAGCUCUGAUCAGUAAGUUACCGCCUGGGCUAGUGUCUUAGGGUUUCUGUUGCUAUGGUGAAACACCAGGACCAUAAACAACUUGGCGAGGAGGAAAGGAUUUGAUUUCAGUUUACAGUUUCACAUUGUAGCCCAUCACUGAAAGAAGUCAUGGCAGGAGCUUGGAUGCAGGAGUCGGUACAGAGGCACCAUAUAGGGUGCUGCUUACUGACUUGCUCCUCAUGGCUUACUCAACGGCUUUCUUAUACACCCCAGGACCACCUGCCCAGGAGUAGCACUACCCACAGUGACCUGGGCCUUCCCAAAUCAAUUACCAAUCAGGAAACUGCACCACAGGCUUGUCUACCAACCAAAGGGAUGGGGGGUCUUCUCAACUGAGGGUCUUUCUUCCUAAAUGACUCUAACUUGUGUCAAGUUGGCAUAAAAAUACCCAGC
Molecule: long non-coding RNA, 1501 nt
Filed under: Mus musculus (house mouse)
Lineage: Eukaryota; Metazoa; Chordata; Mammalia; Rodentia; Muridae
Description: long non-coding RNA chr9:107351785-107353286
Source: RNAcentral